GGGGGGACGGAGAAGGCUAGGUGGGCCUGGCGACGGUUGUCCAGGUUCAAGUGCGUAGGCUGAAGAGUUAGGUAAAUCCGGCUCUUCUUAAGGCUGAGACACGACGUCGAGCACCUACGGGUGUGAAGUCAUUGAUGCCAUGCUUCCAGGAAAAG
Molecule: ribosomal RNA, 155 nt
Filed under: Vibrio parahaemolyticus
Lineage: Bacteria; Pseudomonadati; Pseudomonadota; Gammaproteobacteria; Vibrionales; Vibrionaceae
Description: partial 23S ribosomal RNA
Rfam family: Bacterial large subunit ribosomal RNA
Source: RNAcentral